Molecule: long non-coding RNA, 979 nt
Organism: Olea europaea var. sylvestris
Lineage: Eukaryota; Viridiplantae; Streptophyta; Magnoliopsida; Lamiales; Oleaceae
Exons: 2
Source: RefSeq, a predicted model, not a curated record
AAAAUUACUUAAAAAAUUGUGCUGAAUCGUCCAUCUUCUCUUUUAUACCUUCAACAAUCGUCCAUCUUUCUCCUUUAUACUAACUGUUGUGUCACGGAAUCGCCUCUCCAGUCUCUACUGUUUGCAAAUGCAAGUAAAUCUCCAUAAAUUUCUCUAGUUUUAUGCAAUUCCCAGGCUGGAAGAAACGGCUGACCUGGUUACUAUUAAACCUGGGUUUUCCAGUUCUGAUUGAAAUUGAAUUAGAAACUACUGCGUCAGAAACACUACUGUAAAAGUGAAUUCUAAUCUGAUCCCAACUAUCCACCACCAAAAUUCAUAGUUGGUUUCUUUGAAAAAUAAUUUUUCUUAAACAAUUACAGUGCUAAAUGAUGCUCCUUUUACAGAGAUGAAUUGAAGCGAAAAGAUGCCAAUUUUUUCUCAUUCUGUUUCGAAUGAGAGAGUGAUGGGAUGGGUUUUUGUGGUAAUUGGUUUAAUUUCAUAUAUGGGUUUUCUCUAUGCUGCUGUAAUUUCAAAGCUUCUUCCGCCAUCAGAUAAUGCUAUCAUCUCUGCCAUACAAAAUGACUGGUAUUAUUGCUUCUUGGUGCCCUUGACAAUUCCGAUUCUCAUUGUUUCGGUAUAUUUUCAUUGGCUGAGUAUGAAAUUAUUCAAGCAUGCCUGAGCUUAUUAUGGCAGCAACACAAUGCAUUUCUCUUCAACAUAAUAGUUUAUAACACAUUCUCUUGCCCAGUGAUGCACACAGAAGACAAUUUUCCAGGCAGAAUAGUUUUUUUCUGAAUCCCAACUGGAUUUUCUGGUGGCUGGACCAGAAUGAGACCGUGUCGAGUUUCACACGUUCUCCGAUUACGAUCUGCACGUGCAUGCCAUGUGCUAGCUAGGCCUUGUGCCAAACUAUGUCUUGCAACUUUCUCGUGUAUGCAUGUUUUCUAUGGUAUGUCGACCUAGACAGAUUAAGAAGAGUUGAAGGAGUGGAAUUUUUAUU